RNAcentral lists this ribosomal RNA (272 nucleotides) under uncultured Bacteroides sp. RNAcentral describes it as "partial 16S ribosomal RNA". It matches the Rfam family "Bacterial small subunit ribosomal RNA", at positions 70 to 339 of the family's 1533-position model. Lineage: Bacteria; Pseudomonadati; Bacteroidota; Bacteroidia; Bacteroidales; Bacteroidaceae. The record is from RNAcentral.
UCGCGAUAGCUUGCUAUAGCGGAUGGCGACCGGCGCACGGGUGAGUAACACGUAUCCAACCUGCCGUCUACUCUUGGCCAGCCUUCUGAAAGGAAGAUUAAUCCAGGAUGGGAUCAUGAGUUCGCAUGUUCACAUGAUUAAAGGUAUUCCGGUAGACGAUGGGGAUGCGUUCCAUUAGAUAGUAGGCGGGGUAACGGCCCACCAAGGCAACGAUCAGUAGGGGUUCUGAGAGGAAGGUCCCCACAUUGGAACUGAGACACGGUCCAAACUCC